Molecule: ribosomal RNA, 465 nt
Filed under: uncultured bacterium
Lineage: Bacteria
Description: partial 16S ribosomal RNA
Rfam family: Bacterial small subunit ribosomal RNA
Source: RNAcentral
GACGAACGCUGGCGGCGUGCUUAACACAUGCAAGUCGAACGGAAAGGCCCUGCUUGCCGGGUACUCGAGUGGCGAACGGGUGAGUAACACGUGGGUGAUCUGCCCUGCACUUCGGGAUAAGCCUGGGAAACUGGGUCUAAUACCGGAUAGGAGCCAUUUUUAGUGUGAUGGUUGGAAAGUUUUUUCGGUGUAGGAUGAGCUCGCGGCCUAUCAGCCUGUUGGUGGGGUAAUGGCCUACCAAGGCGGCGACGGGUAGCCGGCCUGAGAGGGUGGACGGCCACAUUGGGACUGAGAUACGGCCCAGACUCCUACGGGAGGCAGCAGUGGGGAAUAUUGCACAAUGGGCGCAAGCCUGAUGCAGCGACGCCGUGUGGGGGAUGACGGCCUUCGGGUUGUAAACUCCUUUCGCUAGGGACGAAGCUUUUUGUGACGGUACCUAGAUAAGAAGCACCGGCUAACUACGUG